RNAcentral lists this small RNA (24 nucleotides) under Brassica napus (rape). RNAcentral's name for it is "PsRNA_31". The record is from RNAcentral. Lineage: Eukaryota; Viridiplantae; Streptophyta; Magnoliopsida; Brassicales; Brassicaceae.
CGGAAACCCAAGCAUUGUAAAUAG